GAAUCUAGCUCUAGGUCGGGGACAACCACUGGAAACGGUGGCUAAUACCGGAUAUGCCGUGAGGUAAAAGGCUUGCUGCCUAGAGAUGAGCUCGCGUCUGAUUAGCUAGUAGGUGUGGUAAGAGCGCACCUAGGCGACGAUCAGUAGCUGGUCUGAGAGGAUGAUCAGCCACACUGGGACUGAGACACGGCCCAGACUCCUACGGGAGGCAGCAGUGGGGAAUUUUCCGCAAUGGGCGAAAGCCUGACGGAGCAAUACCGCGUGAGGGAGGAAGGCUCUUGGGUUGUAAACCUCUUUUCUCAGGGAAUAAUAAUGAAGGUACCUGAGGAAUAAGCAUCGGCUAACUCCGUGCCAGCAGCCGCGGUAAUACGGAGGAUGCAAGCGUUAUCCGGAAUGAUUGGGCGUAAAGGGUCCGCAGGUGGUUCUGAAAGUCUGCUGUUAAAGAGUGAGGCUUAACCUCAUAAAAGCAGUGGAAACUACAAAGCUAGAGUGCGUUCGGGGUAGCAGGAAUUCCUGGUGUAGCGGUGAAAUGCGUAGAGAUCAGGAAGAACACCGGUGGCGAAAGCGUGCUACUAGGCCGUAACUGACACUGAGGGACGAAAGCUAGGGGAGCG
This 614-nucleotide ribosomal RNA is filed under the name Nostoc sp. 14-SKD-2014. RNAcentral describes it as "bacterial SSU rRNA". It matches the Rfam family "Bacterial small subunit ribosomal RNA", at positions 122 to 770 of the family's 1533-position model. The record is from RNAcentral. Lineage: Bacteria; Bacillati; Cyanobacteriota; Cyanophyceae; Nostocales; Nostocaceae.